ACUACGGGAGGCAGCAGUGAGGAAUAUUGGUCAAUGGGCGGAAGCCUGAACCAGCCAAGUAGCGUGCAGGAUGACGGCCCUACGGGUUGUAAACUGCUUUUAUACGGGAAUAACGCGCCUUACGUGUAGGGCUUUGCAUGUACCGUAUGAAUAAGGACCGGCUAAUUCCGUGCCAGCAGCCGCGGUAAUACGGAAGGUCCGGGCGUUAUCCGGGUUUAUUGGGUUUAAAGGGAGCGUAGGCCGCAUGUCAAGCGUGCUGUGAAAUGUCCGGGCUCAACCCGGGCCUUGCAGCGCGAACUGGCGUGCUUGAGUCCGCGGAAAGCAGGCGGAAUUCGUCGUGUAGCGGUGAAAUGCUUAGAUAUGACGAAGAACCCCGAUUGCGAAGGCAGCUUGCUGCAGCGGAACUGACGCUGAUGCUCGAAAGCGCGGGUAUCGAACAGGAUUAGAUACCCGAGUAGUC
This 460-nucleotide ribosomal RNA is filed under the name uncultured bacterium. RNAcentral's name for it is "partial 16S ribosomal RNA". It matches the Rfam family "Bacterial small subunit ribosomal RNA", at positions 338 to 795 of the family's 1533-position model. The record is from RNAcentral.